This 253-nucleotide ribosomal RNA is filed under the name uncultured bacterium. RNAcentral's name for it is "partial 16S ribosomal RNA". It matches the Rfam family "Bacterial small subunit ribosomal RNA", at positions 524 to 776 of the family's 1533-position model. The record is from RNAcentral.
UACGGGGGGGGCAAGCGUUGUUCGGAAUUACUGGGCGUAAAGGGCUCGUAGGCGGCCAACUAAGUCGGAUGUGAAAUCCCCGGGCUUAACCUGGGAACUGCAUCCGAGACUGCAUGGCUAGAGUAUGGGAGAGGGAAGUGGAAUUUCAGGUGUAGCGGUGAAAUGCGUAGAUAUCUGAAGGAACAUCAGUGGCGAAAGCGACUUCCUGGACCAAUACUGACGCUCAUGUGCGAAAGCGUGGGGAGCAAACAGG